UACAGAGGGUGCAAGCGUUAAUCGGAUUUACUGGGCGUAAAGCGCGCGUAGGUGGCCAAUUAAGUCAAAUGUGAAAUCCCCGAGCUUAACUUGGGAAUUGCAUUCGAUACUGGUUGGCGAGAGUAUGGGAGAGGAUGGUAGAAUUCCAGGUGUAGCGGUGAAAUGCGUAGAGAUCUGGAGGAAUACCGAUGGCGAAGGCAGCCAUCUGGCCUAAUACUGACACUGAGGUGCGAAAGCAUGGGGAGCAAACAGG
Molecule: ribosomal RNA, 253 nt
Filed under: uncultured bacterium
Lineage: Bacteria
Description: partial 16S ribosomal RNA
Rfam family: Bacterial small subunit ribosomal RNA
Source: RNAcentral